RNAcentral lists this ribosomal RNA (303 nucleotides) under uncultured bacterium. Its description in RNAcentral is "partial 16S ribosomal RNA". It matches the Rfam family "Bacterial small subunit ribosomal RNA", at positions 507 to 807 of the family's 1533-position model. The record is from RNAcentral.
AGCAGUAGCCACGGUAAUACGAGGGGGGCAAGCGUUGUUCGGAUUUAUUGGGCGUAAAGGGUGCGUAGGCGGUUUGAUAAGUCUGAUGUGAAAUCUAUGGGCUCAACCCAUAGUCUGCAUUAGAAACUGUCGGGCUUGAGUAUGGGAGAGGUGAGUGGAAUUUCCGGUGUAGCGGUGAAAUGCGUAGAUAUCGGAAGGAACACCUGUGGCGAAAGCGGCUCACUGGACCAUAACUGACGCUGAUGCACGAAAGCUAGGGUAGCAAACAGGAUUAGAUACCCCUGUAGUCCCUGUCUCUUAUAC